This 253-nucleotide ribosomal RNA is filed under the name uncultured bacterium. RNAcentral describes it as "partial 16S ribosomal RNA". It matches the Rfam family "Bacterial small subunit ribosomal RNA", at positions 524 to 776 of the family's 1533-position model. The record is from RNAcentral.
UACGUAGGGUGCGAGCGUUGUCCGGAAUUAUUGGGCGUAAAGAGCUCGUAGGCGGUCUGUUGCGUCCGCUGUGAAAACUCGGGGCUUAACCCCGAGCCUGCAGUGGAUACGGGCAGACUAGAGGUAGGUAGGGGAGAAUGGAAUUCCCGGUGUAGCGGUGAAAUGCGCAGAUAUCGGGAGGAACACCGGUGGCGAAGGCGGCAUCCUGGACCGACAUUGACGCUGAGGCGCGAAAGCCAGGGGAGCAAACGGG